Molecule: long non-coding RNA, 5627 nt
Organism: Cairina moschata (Muscovy duck)
Lineage: Eukaryota; Metazoa; Chordata; Aves; Anseriformes; Anatidae
Source: Ensembl
CUAAGCACCACGUCCAACCUUUCCUUAAACACCCCCGGGGAUGGUGACUCCACCACCUCCCUGGGCAACCCGUUCCAAUGCCUGACUGCUCUUUCUGAGAAGAAAUUAUUAGUAUUAUUAUUACUACUACUACUACUACUACUAAUAAUAAUAAUAAUAAUAAAAGUGUGAAUGAAAACCCUUGCAGACGUAAGCCGGCUUAUGUUUUCUGUAUUAGGAAAAAUUAAAAAAAAAAUAAAAUAAAAUAAAGAAGCUCUUUGGAAGCUCUGUCCGACUCAGUUACAGCCGACCACAAGGCAGACUCAUCUCUCACCAGGCUCCACGAGGCAGAGCCGAGCUCCCAGCCCGCCCCAGGUGCCUGCCUCCACGUUCGCAUAUUUAAAUCACAGCAAGCAGCUGCCCUGCCCGCUGGGAGCUGCCGGCACGGGGCGGGCAGGGAGGGGGGGGAACUCUGCCCUGUACUUCUGAAGGGCAAAGCAGCGCCGGAUCCUGUCGCCGCCGUGUCGCCCUAUCGCCGACACCCCCCGACAGCAGCACGCACGCCAGCCCCAGCCUCGUGGGGUCCCCCCACCGCCCCCGUCGGAGCCCUGCCCCGGUGCCGCCGCCGGGGCCGUGCCGAGCGCCGCUCCCCGGCGCGGCGGGGCCGGGAUUGGCUGCGGAGGCCGGGGGGGGGCCGGGCACGGCCGCGGGUGGGUGCGCGGAGGAGGCUGCGUGGGGCAGCACAGCGAGAGCCCACGGCGGCGGCAGGAGGGAGCUGCAGUCGGGGGGCUCUGUCCACGGACGGUCCAGAGCCUAAGGAAUCCUUGACUUGGAAGUUGAACAAAACCAGACAAAGGAAGAAACUCUUCCCUCAUCUGGCUCAUGGCUACUUUGUCCAAGUUUAGCAUUUUCUUCUGGCCUCCUUCGCUUGCCCCUGUCCCUCUUGACAGCCUCACUCUUGUCAAAAGCACAAAGGGUGUCCGAGAGCAUGACAACAAGCUGAAAUCAUGAACUGUGCCACGGCAAGGAAGCAGAAAAUGAAAGCUCCUGGCAAAGCAGAGCAUGCUGUUGGCAGAAAUAUCCUGCAUCAAGUCACCGCUCCAGGAUGUCGCUCCGGGACGUGGCAAAGGUCCGUGUUGCACACCCGUCUCUCCCCAGCAAUGAGUUUGUCACCAGGGAUGGGAGGAGAAAGUGGGGAUGAAGUGGCAAUGAGCCCUGGGUCAGGCCUCGCCCUGCAGGCCAGCUGGCUCCUCCCAGCCACUCAGAGGUCCUGUCCCACCAGGUCUGUUUGACCAGGGCCCAUCCUGACAUCCGGAGACGUUCUUUGCCUGGCUGGUGAGGACUGUGGCAGCUUUAUCUGGUGUGCUUGGCAAACAUGCUGUAAACUAAAUCCCUGCCAAGCUUCUCUUUAAGGCCAUUCUUUGCACACUGGAGUACCUUUUGUCCUUCUAGCUUGCUCUGUCGCACACCCUCCUCAGCCAAUGGGGAGGAAUAGCUUCUAAAACACUGCCUGAGUUUUUUUCAGAAGUGCAGUUCUAAGAAACAGGUAGUCAAAAAUUAGAGAGGGUUUGGCGUUAUUGUUGCAGUGCUGCAGAACUGUACAAUUCACAUGUAUAUGGGCUCCUCUACUGUACUUGCAACAUAUUUCUGCCUCUACUAAAGAGGGUUUUGUUCCAGUGCUUGGCAGCUGGUGGCUCAAUACCUUGUGUUUUAUGCACCAUGAGUGAGCAGUGGGCUUACAGGAUCACAGUAGGAGACUGUAUCCUAGGCUAUGCAAGGCCACAUUUCCCUAGUGUGGGUCUGGAGUAGAGCUGUACUCAGGAUGUGCAGGCCAGCAUCCCUGCACUGUGACAUCUUGCAAAAGGAUGUGCUGGGGCAUAGGUGCAACCAUGCCAGGUAGAUGUCCUCAUGGGAAAAGAUCCAGUGUAGACAGCACCGCAUUCAAUAUCAUCAAUGGAAUGCUUCACUUGAACUGGCCAAGUGAAAUGUGUUUCAAAACCUGAUAAAAAGUACUUUGGAUCAUCAGCGUAGGGAACGGUGCCUUCUGCAAUAAUUCAGGAACCUUGCUGGCUAUGCCCCAGAUACUUAAUGCAAUCUGUCGCUACUUAAUAAAGAAUGUCUGAGAUCAAAGCUUUUUUUUUUUUUUUUUUUUUUUUGAUAUUACAAACCACACAAAAAAAAAUAAUAAAUAGAAACCAGUGUAGGCCCGUUGCCCUUUCAGUCACACCAAGGCCUAUCUGACAGCUGCGCAGCAAGGACUCCUGUGGGGUGUCCUGCAGAGGCUAGAUGUGUGUUGCCACAGGCAUGGUGUCCUUCUUGCCGUGCCAGACUUCACCUGGCUGUGAGGAGUCCAGAAAAAGGAGCUUUCAUUCUCUGCAUUCCUCUCUGCUUGCACACCAACAGCUCUCAAGGUGCCUCUUCUGGCCCAAAACAGCUGCCAGCGUGGCUGGGUGGAAGCAGAGCCCAAAUGAGCACUUGAGCUGCAUUUCUAAAGUGUUUGUUGCUCUCGGUAAAUAAACCUGUAGGAGAGGAAAGGGCAAGAGUGAACAGCAAUACUCCUAGAAAAUAUCCGACGUGGGAGGCCCAGUUUCCCGUUUGAACUUACACAAACGUGGCACGCUGACAGAGUCGCCCCUGAAGCGCUCAUCAAGUGCUGCAGUUGACAGCAGUUAAAUUCACAACAAGAUGGCCGGGUUGCAUUUACAUAUGUUUUAAAUGUGCUUGUCAGUCACUGGAUAGUUAGUUCUCAAUUACAGCAACAGUUUGAGAAUGCAAGGCAUUUGUCUUCGUUUUCUAGUGUCACAUACUGAGGUCUGCAUGUCUGAAGUUGUCUAGAUAAGCAGAUAACACUUCCCGAUACAAUAAUUUUUGAGCCUGGUUUAAACUUAGGUGAAAACCAAAUAGUUUGCAUGAGUGAGCUUCUGCAAAUGUAGAAAGAAGCUAUCACACAGGGAUAUCCAUGUUAAAUAAUGAAAUUUCUGUGUGCUUCUGUUACAUUAUUAUUUAAGGAUGAUUCUCAGAAAACUACAAGCCAAGAUGCUGCUAAUAUGAUUUAUGCACUGAAAGUGCAAUUUAUAAAGGGACACAGACUGGGUUUAUUAGUCAUGAACGUAACCUGCUGUAUCUGUUCUUUUCAUGCUCACUUUGCAAAGUAUUUAGAUGCUUUUGUCAGAGGUUGAUACCUGCUUGCCUUUGAAAAUAUGAAUUGACUGUAGAUGGUUUAGAGCCCAGGAAAAAUCUUUUGCAUUACAAGUUGGUGCCCCACCACAAUACAAGAGAAUUAUUUUGUUUGGUGUCCGAGGAAGAUUUUUAGUUUCAUUUUCAAACUUUUGUUUGUUUUCACUUUUUCAGAUGAGCGGCUCUCAACUUUGAAGUUAAGAUUAUAAUGCUAGGAAAAAAAAUAGAAGAUGCAUUGGUAGUGUGCUUUCAACGGUAGAAAUGUUCAAUUGGCUUGAAGAUACUGAACAUCAGUCUUUAUCAAAAUCAAUGAAUGUUUCCUGGCAGAGAUUAGUGAAACUAGAACUGUCCCCAUUCUGAAUAUUUUUUUAUUUCCCCAUUUUUAUCUUUAUGGACAGUUUAAUGUGGUUGUGAUGACUUUCCACAUUUAUAUGUGGCAAAAUUUCCCUUGCUUUGUUCAAGCUUUGAUAGGAACCCUGAGCCCUCUUAGGUAUCAUUUAUUCCAGAGAAGAUGUGGACCUAUCUAAGAUCUUCCCUUGGUAAGCUAUGGAUUCCCUCUAUUUAAAAAUAUCUUCUGGAUAAGCUAAUAACCUAUUCUUCCCAGUAUGCCAAGAAAGGCAGUAGAUGACAAUCAUUCUUUCUCCGUACCUCUUGUGAAUGAAUGAUUUGGUGCUUAUUCCAAAGAUUAGUACUUCAUUCAGCUCCUCUUAUUGUUACAUGGGAUGGCUUUUUCUUCCAUUUGUGGGGUGUUUCACUCAUAUCCAUCAAAAUGAGAAAAAAUUGCUACUGUUAGUCACUACCUGUCUUUUCCCAAAAGAAGUCCUCAAGAUGUUUUUACUACUUUGCUAUAAAAAACAAGAUUUGGAAGGGCUGUUUUUUUCAACUUUAGUGAUAAAGCAAGGUAAAGCAGGCCACUGAGGUAAAUCAGAAGUUUGGAAAUGGGUUUCUAUUCUUUUGGGAAACCUAAAACUGGGGCUGAGGGCAAAGACAAAUCAUAAAUUGAAUGAUUUUGUCAAAUGGAGUGCAAGUAUGCAGUGCUAACUGCUAUUUACCCCCAAGUGUUUCAACGUGCUCCAACCAUGUGACAGGACAAUAUCCGCAGCUGUAACAUAACAUGUGAAAGGUACAAAGUCUGAUUUUUAUGGCCUAAACAUUAAUAUUUGCAAUAAAGACAUCAGGUAGAGACUGUAAUCCUUGCAAUAUAUUGUAAAUAUUACUGUACAGAGAUCUAUAUGUAACAAAUACAGAUUGUUCUAUUAUACAUGUAUUACUUUUCAAAGGGAGAUAGCCCUCGUGUUUUGUGAAUUUGGAGAAACAUUACAACAAUGGGCAUUAAGCAGAAACUUCCCUGGGAGGAGGUUGACCUGUCAUUGCCUCAUAUGAAGUUUCUCACAUCUUCUUUUGAAUCUUGUGAAAUAGAGUACUGGUCAGACUUGGUAUGCAAGUUCCUACAUUUCUGUGUUUAUAGCCAUAUAAAUGUACUGUGUACUAUUGAGUGCAUACAAAUAAAAAUACCACACUGAGAGUUAGUUUUGUUGUUUUGUUUUAUUUUUUUUUUUUUUCUUGAAAAAUAUCUUUUUAUUGUUCUGUUGCCAUUAACAUACCAUUAUUUUAAAGCUAGUAUUCCACUACCCAAUUGCUUGCUCUGAGUGAGGCUACAGAUGUGUUGGCCAUACCAAGAUCCCUGUAUGAGAACCAAGGGUUCUUGGUAAGUUUGAAAUACAUGAAGCCGGGGUUGUUUCACAGUAAUUUGAUAUUUUCAUUCUAGAAUAUGGCUAAAAGAUGCACUGUUUGUUUCUAAAGGGCAGUAUUUUUUUUCCAGACUUUGAUAUUAUAUUUGAUUUUCCUCACUGUCAAAAACUACUAUGUGCUGCAGGCAAUACCACAUCCAUCACAAGCAAGCAUGGCCAGUGCCCAAGCAGUGAGCCUGAAGUUCUGCUUAGAAAAAAACCAUAUCUCCAGAACCUUAACAGGUUUUCCUUUGACUUCAUUCCAUAGGAAGAAUUCGAUGUAUGUGAUGUUAAUUCCCUGUGCAUGCAUUCUGUGAAGAAAGCAGGAGAAAUAAUGAUUGUAUACAGUAAGCUUUUACCAGAGACCAGUAUACUCCAGCUGUGUAAUUAUCAUUUUGGCAUGGCCUAACCUGCUCAGGUGGAAGUGUUUCAAUGACAAGUGUUUGAAUGCAACUUGAGGUAGAGCUGACUGAUGCUCACUGUGUAGAUUAAGCUCUUCCACCAAAAAAAAAAAGCAACAUUUAUCGUCAUUGACAUAGAGCCUUCCCAUCAUAAAAAGUCUAGAAAAGGGAGACAAUUUGUGCCUCCCCCUUUCUGUGUGGGUUAACCUCCCUUAGCAAGCCUUUGCCAGUGUUGGUGCCUUUGGGAGGAAGGAGUCAUCAUAGCCUGUGAAUAUCAUAGAAAUCACAGAAUGGUUUGGGUUGAAAGAGGCUUUAAGGAUCACCCAGUUCCAACCUCUCU